Non-coding RNA from Salmo salar (Atlantic salmon), 73 nucleotides. NCBI's taxonomy places the organism in Eukaryota, Metazoa, Chordata, Actinopteri, Salmoniformes, Salmonidae. The record is from Rfam.
UUCCCUGUGGCUCAGUUGGUAGAGCAUGGUGUUUACAACGCCAGGGUUGUGGGUUCGAUUCCCACGGGGGGCA